This is a long non-coding RNA of Ostrea edulis (European flat oyster), 840 nucleotides long. RefSeq lists it as uncharacterized. NCBI's taxonomy places the organism in Eukaryota, Metazoa, Mollusca, Bivalvia, Ostreida, Ostreidae. The record is from RefSeq and is a predicted model, not a curated record. The transcript is spliced from 2 exons.
ACCCUGUUGUUGUUGGUAUCUAUUUAUAAAAUUCGUUAUAUGUUAUGUAUUCGCUCUUCAAAAGUCCUUAACACUCGUGUGGCAGGGAUGGAGACAGGAACAGACUAAUGAAAGCCGCAUUGCCAGAGCUACAGUUCUGCAGCUACCAGUACCAUGAUCUGAACCCUAGCCUCCAGUACCAUGAUCUGAACCCUAGCCUCCAGUACCAUGAUCUGAAAACUGCACUACCUGAGGAUGCUUGACUAUCGACAUGACUAACCAUACUAUGAUUCAUAGACAUUCAUGAGAGGAACUUUUUACAAUACAUUUGCAUGUCAGACUUUUGAAUUCCUAAUGUAGUCCUACCCUAUACCCAUGGCUACAAAUUGAACUUGGAAUCUGCACUUCCUGAUGAUGCUUGCGUACUGAUAUGACUAAUCAUUGCACUGCUGCUCUUAAAAAAAAGAUUUUCAAAGUUGUUUUUUUCCUGAAAUGUCCCCAUUUUGAUAUCUUACUUUACAUGCUCGACAUUGAUAAGCACAUUGUAUGAUUUUUGACUGAUAUUCACCCAUCAAAAUCAGUCAAAUUUCAUAACGAAGCAGUUUACACACUUGCUACCAAUGGCUUUCGACUAUAGGAAGAAUAUUAAUAGGCAUACUAAUUUUUCAUGAUUGAUUAAGACAUGUCAGUCUCCUCUGUGUUUAUUUGCUGGGACUGUUUUUCACCCGCAGAUCACACAGUGCAUUUUAUUAACAUUUACUGACAACAAACCUCACUGAGAAAUUAAUGGAUUUUUCCUGGUAAACUGGAUUUGAAGUUUGUGUAUUUAACAAUUAAAAUGAAGACUGAUGUUGAAUUGUU